RNAcentral lists this ribosomal RNA (593 nucleotides) under Lamprospora sp. RNAcentral's name for it is "partial large subunit ribosomal RNA". It matches the Rfam family "Eukaryotic large subunit ribosomal RNA", at positions 87 to 651 of the family's 3401-position model. The record is from RNAcentral. Lineage: Eukaryota; Fungi; Ascomycota; Pezizomycetes; Pezizales; Pyronemataceae.
CUGCGAGUGAAGCGGCAAAAGCUCAAAUUUGAAAUCUGACGUUCAUUCUGACGUUCGAGUUGUAAUUUGGAGGAGCGCCUUCGGGAGCCGACGCCGUUCUAAGUUCUUUUGGAACUGGACAUCAUAGAGGGUGAGAAUCCCGUGCCUGGGCGGCAGUCUGGCUUCCAUGCGAAGCGUUUCCGACGAGUCGAGUUGUUUGGGAAUGCAGCUCAAAAUGGGUGGUAAAUUUCAUCUAAAGCUAAAUAUAGGCGAGAGACCGAUAGCGCACAAGUAGAGUGAUCGAAAGAUGAAAAGCACUUUGAAAAGAGAGUUAAACAGUACGUGAAAUUGUUGAAAGGGAAGCGCUUGAGAUUGAACUAUGACAGGAUGGAGCUGUGCGAGGGUCUCGGCUCUUGUACAUCUCUCCAUUCUCCCUCCAACCACCAUCGGUUCCGGCGGCGAGAAAAAUGGUUGGGUAAUGUGGCUCCUCUCGGGGAGUGUUAUAGACCUGAGCCAAUUUGCGCCAGCUGGGACCGAGGCAACGAGCGAGCUUGGGGUGUAUUUUAUACCCCUUGACCUCAAGGAUGUGUGGCAUGUCGAUCUUAAGCGACCCG